This 74-nucleotide transfer RNA is filed under the name Clostridia bacterium. Its description in RNAcentral is "tRNA-Gly". It matches the Rfam family "tRNA". Rfam says of the family: Transfer RNA (tRNA) molecules are approximately 80 nucleotides in length. Their secondary structure includes four short double-helical elements and three loops (D, anti-codon, and T loops). The record is from RNAcentral. Lineage: Bacteria; Bacillati; Bacillota; Clostridia.
GCACCGGUAGAUCAAUGGUAGAUUUCCUGCCUUCCAAGCAGGCUACACGGGUUCGAUUCCCGUUCGGUGCUCCA